This is an RNA transcript of Hemibagrus wyckioides, 6845 nucleotides long. It is a transcript of the gene named zinc finger protein 418-like, with no coding region annotated. The transcript is spliced from 4 exons. The record is from RefSeq and is a predicted model, not a curated record. NCBI's taxonomy places the organism in Eukaryota, Metazoa, Chordata, Actinopteri, Siluriformes, Bagridae.
CCUCGUACUGAAAGUUUAAAAACAAUGCGCAAUGUAGUCCACUUUAUCUAGGAUAGCAGGCUUUUAGUCUAUUGCUACUGCUAACUUUAUUCAUCGAAAGCAAGCAAACACAACAUUCGUAGAAACUCUCCAGAAUCUCCUAAAAUUAAAGGAACUUUUGUAUUUAAUGACGGAGACAUGCAACUCCGAAGAUUCAACUCAUUCUGGGAAGCGAGAAAGGCGCAAGGACGAGCUGAAUACUAGUCUUGUACAGGCUGUUUAUGAGGAACAUCCUCAGGAGCUGUGAGAGGUGAUGAAACACCAACCAGAAGUAGGACAUCAGGAUGGAUCAGAGUCCCUUUUCCUAGGAACACCUCCAGGUGUUCUCCUUCUACAGGGCUGCCCCCGGGGUCUGGGUGCUGGUCGGGGCGGGAUCUGUGAAAUUCUUUAUUGAGGGACAUCUACCCAGCAGCUUUCAUCUGGACCAUACCGCUCUCAGGCCACAAGGAAGCUUAAAUUACAGCCUGCCAUGAGUGACACCAUUAGAGAUGGCCAUCAUCAUCAUCAUCAUCAUCAUCAUCAUCAUUACACUCUUUGUCCUUUUGCUCCAAUGAUUUCUGAUGUGCUGUAAUGAUAUGAGCUUUUGCCAGCUGUGAGCCUCUGUAGGGAUCCGAGCAUAAUUCCUUAAUUAAUUCCUUGAUAAUUUUGCUAAUUAUUAAACAAACUGCCAAAAUCUUAACCCAAACGUCAAAAAAAUUAAAGUUUUUCAUUUUAUCUGUGACUUCAAAAUUCACUGGACCCUGUGGAGUCACAAAAAACUAAAUAUGAUUUUCUUUAAAUGAAUGAACUGAUGGUGACAUUGCUUUCUUUCUAAAAUUAUGAAUUUAUUUUGAAAAGUAGAACAAUUUUAAGCCACAAAUGUUUUUCAUUAAACAAUAAACCAACAGUGUCAGGACUGAGAAGAGCUUCUAUGAAUAGUUGGUAUUGAGUGGUUCUCAGACUGGUAGAAAGUACACUCUGAAACAAAAUGGUUCUAUAUAGAACCAAGAAAGAUUCUACACAGAACACAUAUCUCUAUAUACAUAGAGAUACAACUCUAAAAAGUAAUGCCACCUUAAGUCGCCUUACACACACUUUGAGUUAUAGAACCAUUUUGAAAUAAAGGGUACAUUGCUCCUCGGGGGUUCUAGCACUAUAGGUUCCAUUGGCCAAAUUCAGAACCCCAAGGUUCUCUAGGUUCCCUAUUUUUUCAAGUGUACACUGAGUGACAUUCAAUGUAAGUCUAAGUGACCCAUUCUAAUGCGUUUUCAUUAAUACAUAAUAAAUUAUUCUACAGUGCUGAUGAAUUCUGCAUUCUGAUUGGUCAGAAUGUUCUGGUUAAUGCCAUCAUUCUCAUGCUUUAUUGUUUCUAUAGUAACCGUUUACACAGGGACUUGUAUGAUUGAUCCUCCACAGAUUUUUUUUAUGCAGAGAUUUAUUUAGCAUCCAUUGAAAUAGAGUGUUAAAAAAAGACUUUUAUACACAACAAUUUUUCUGGAAAGAGAGUCUAGAGAGUGACUUGAUUGCAGCUGCUGUAGUAUAAAGGAAUUUUUAAAUUAUUAAAUUAUUAUUGUGUAAUAUUAAAAUGUAACUAUAAAUGGAUAAAAAAGUUCGAUUCAACUUUUUGAAUGGCACUUUUAACAAUAUAAAAAUUCAGAAUAUGAAUUACAAAAUUAUUAAUAAACAUUUUAUUCCUAAUGAGCAAGCCAAAGGAAGGAAAAACUCCCUGAGACGACAUCAAAAAUGUAUGUAAUUAUUUCAUAAAUAAAUAAAAUAAAAAUAAAACAAAUGCAUACUGCUGUGGUAGAAGAGGAAUUAAACACUUCAAGACAUGCUGAUGUCAGAAAAUAAUCAACCUCAGGCUGGCAAGAGUAACUAUGCUUUUCUUUGCUGAUUAUUUUCCUGUAACUGCAUGUCUGGUAUAACGUAUAGCUACGUUUCCUCUUCUUUACGAUACAAAAAUAGCAGAGAACAUCAGGAUGGGAUCAAAUGAUUUAACCUACUCAGAACAGCUCUUCUCUCAUCUGUGUGUUGAUGCAAAAACAGCCACCUGACUCACCAGUGUGUGUGUGUGUGUGUGUGUGUGUGUGUGUGUGUGUGUGUGUGUGUGUGUGUAAAAAUGGCUCACAGCAUGAAUCAACAGUUCUGCGUGUGUGUAUAAAAAUGGUCCACAGUGUGAAUCAACAGUUCUGUAUGUGUGUGUGACAGGGAGAGAGAGACAGAGAGAGACAGAGAGAGAGAGAGACAGAGAGAGAGAGAGAGAGAGAGAGAGAGAUGCAGCCGUGGGAACAGCAGGAUAGAAAACGUGGGGAAACAUCAGGAAAUAAAUCACAUAUAGAAAUUCAAUGGCUGGUGUGUGGUGUUUAUUUCCAGGCCAUGGGAUUUCCUGCGGCUCUCCACAGGUGGUGUGUGUUACAGCCUGCAGUCAAGAUGUUCUACCUGCUGUGAUUGUGUUUGCGUGUGUGUGUGUUGGUGACUCCAUGCUAUCACAUAGAGAAAGGUUUCUAGCAACAACAAAUGAAUGAAAAGUAAAUUUGUUAAGGGGUAAAAUCCCGAUGUGUUCCAGUGGCUCAGAGGGUAGCGUUUCUGCCUCACAGCUUCAGGGUCCCAGGAUUAAUACCGGAGCUGAAUUACUGUCUGUGUGGAGUUUCACUCACUUGUUCUCUCUUCGUACAGUUUCUCUGGUUUCCUCCAACCACCAUAAAACAUACCACUAGGUGGACCACCCACUAGGUAAACUGCCCCACUACCUCUCUUUGAUGGACUUGCAUCUCAUCCUGCUUCACACCCUGCAGAUUCGUGAUGACCCGGACCAGGAUAAAACAUUCUUGGAGUGUGUACAGUACAGCAAAUAUCAACCAACACACAUAUUUUAAAUCAGUCUAACACAAAUAUCCUUUUUUUUUUGUAGUGUAUCUUGUAGUGUUAUCUACAUUGUACUUUAUAACAGUAUAUAACAAUAUUAUGUACAUACUUAUUCGUUCAUAUCAGUAUAUCACUGUAUUUCAUAUGCUUUUGACUAUAUUCCAUAUUUCAAUUAUUUAUUUUCUCAGUUAAGCUCAUUUUGUGUUUAUUGUAGAUGUUACUUAUUUCCAUAAAUUUCCUUAUUGUCACUUAUUUCAUUAAAUAUUUUUUUAAAUAUUUUUUUUUAAAUAUAUUUUUAUCUUCAUGUUAAUUCCAUUUCUGACUAUAUUGCUCCAAAAAAUAAUGGCACCCUAUUCCACCAUACACACUCUUUGAAUUAUAGAACCAUUUUAAUAUAAAAGGAUCUACAUCGAACCAAUUUUGGAAGAUGGAAAUUGAUCUCUUGGCCACAUACAGAACCCCAGGUUUCUAUAUAGAACCCAGAGAACUUUUUUUUUUUUUUCUUGCAGCUCCAGCUUCUUCCUGCUCUCCUCCAGCAUGGACAUUUUCAGCAUGGUGGAAAUGUGCAACCACAACAAAAAAGAGCGAAAUAAUUAAAUAACCUGGUAGAAUCAUUAGCAUUUAUAGUUCUAGACUCCCUGCAUUCAGAGAAAAUGGGACAGAAGGUCAUCCAGAGGCUGAACUGCUCACUGUGUUAUUACUGUAAUAAUCUACAAAUGAGAAGGAGGUCUACUUAGAGAAAAUCCACUUUGUUCAAUUACAGACUGUGAUAUUUAUUCUACAACAUAUCCAACAUCACACAUAUACCUGUCAUUAAUCCUGGACUACAUUACCCAUCAGCCCUAGCAAUCACAUCAUCACUCACACCUGUUCUCUGGUACCCCUAAUUACCACCAUACUUAAAUCUGAAGGUCUCAAGGUGAAAAAUUUGUUCAUGUUGUAAUGUUCAUACGUUGUGUUGUGUGCCACAGUAUUGCCCAAAGUCUUUGAUUUUUUGCCUUGUAUCUGUGCUUCAUGGUUGUUUGUUCACAAUGUACUUGCAUUAUCCUUCACCUCCCUAUCAUGACAAUAUAUGCAAUCAGUUUGCAUGAUGUAUCUAUUCAUUACAUUAAAUUAUCUUGACAGAGAGGGAUUAUAGAUUAAAUGAAGAUUAUAGAUUUACCAAAUAGAAUAUCCCGAUAAGACUGAUACUUGGGUAGUAAAUCCUUCAAGAAAAGAUGUCCUGCUCAAAAUUAGCCCUGUUUCAUGUCAUGUAUGAGGAAUUACACGAAGGACAUGUUUUUCCGCAUAUUUUUUUUUUUUUAGAGAGCACGAAUAUUGUUCCUCAUCCUUGCUUUUAUCUCCACACAUUAUUAUGUAAAGUGUUAUUUAUGAAGCAGGCUUUCUGGCACUGGCAGUGAUAAAUUAAGCCAAGCUUUUCUGUUUGGAUACCAACAAAUCACCUCCCUUAUUUUAACCAACAUGUAGGAACAAACAGAACAAAAUUUCCCAAUUUCCCAUGAAGGCAUUUGCAGCAUAGCAGGUUUUAUGCAUUUAUAUACUGUACCGCAGUUGGUUCAGAUUCCCGGUUCCAAUUGGACAGAAGGCAUUGAUUAAUUUUUCAUUACAGUAUUGUCUCUCUGUGUGCUUAUUUGAAUUACAGCAGCCGUCCUAUCAUCUUAAAUUGGUGUUUUACGACACACACUGGAUGUUUUUUGUUUUUUGCACCAUUCUGUAUUAACUUUGUGCUUGAAAAUCCCAUGGCAUGCCAUGAUCAAACUUUAUUUCCAUCCUCAUGCUUGAUGUGAACAUUAAGCAAAUCUUGUGACCUGUAUCUGCACAAUUUUAUGCACUGUGCAGCUGCUACCUGAUUGGUUGACUGAAUAACUGCAUGAAUGACCAGUGGUAUGAGUGUUUCUAAUAAAGUGCUGCACUAUAAAGUCGCCAGGAGAUGUGGUUGCUAUGGUAACCCUUGCCACUAAAAUACAACAUUCUGGAGGGAGAUUGAGAUUGAGAUUGAGAGUUGAAGGAGAAACAAUGUGUGACGGUUGCCAUGGAUCACAUGACCUCUUCUGUCUUCACUCUUAACUUUUCUCAGCUCGGUCACGUGGCCGGACACACCCAUAUCUAGUCGCCAGUGUUCGCUUUCUCUUAUUCAUGAAAAUGAAUGAUCUCUGCUGCAAGUUGCUUAUGUGUGAAUGUAGCAUGAAACAGCUCUAAGAGCAUGAGACGUAUUACGAAGAAGGAUUUGCAUUAACAUGUUAUGAGUCAAUUAAAGCUUUAUCACAAUAUCAGAAUCACACACACAAGCCCCAAAUCUGUGAGUAUAUGCUGAAUCACCCACUAAACAGCAGGUUAUAAAAAAAAAAACUCAGAGAAGGUAAUAGACCUCAGUGCUCAUUUCUGUGAUGAACGACAUGCUGAGUAGAAAACAGCACUAAAGUGAGGACAUCAAUUUUCCAACAGGAAGUGAAGUGUUGCAGUGACUCAGAAAGUCCAACACACGCUGCAUCCAGCGAUCAGGGGCUAAUUGAAUCCGAUUAAACGGUCUCUGUAGAAUUACGAGCAGCAGCAUGAGCACCACAGAAAUCAUUCAUAUCCAUAAACAAUGCAUAAAUUGUGUUCUGCUAAAUGGAAUCCAGUUAAUGUCUGUUUUGCCAGACCAAAUCUACAGCCGUACAUUCAGCUGCUGCAUAAUUAGCGUUAAUUGCAAUAGCUCUUGUUCAUCGACAUUGCAUAUGGUCAAAUUGAAAUUGUAAAUGGAGUGCAUGCAAAUUCUGCUAAUUUUCUUUAAUGAUCAAGUUCAUCUUUGGCAGAUCUGUUAGACAGGGCUUCAUUGGAUGUUUGGAUAGGACAUUUUGUUCUAUAAAUGGUUUGGAUUUAUAUGAUUUUCCAUGAGCUUAAAUCUGCUUUCUUUUCUACAAAACUCAAAUGAAUAACAAUUUCUUCUUUGUUAAAUCUUGCUUGUGACUUUAUUUCUCUAUAGAUUGACUUGAAUGAAUUUAAAUACAACAGAAAUACUGAGUUAUGAGAAUAAGGAUCUGGAUAUAAUACCAGAAAAACAGUGUUCUAUAGUUUGCUGAUGACACUGUUGUAUUGGGCCUGAUCUCCAACAACGACGAGAUGGCCUACCUACAGGAGAUUAAAAACCUGGAGAGCUGGUGCCAGGUGAACAACCUACUCCUGAACAUCAGCAAGACUAAGGAGUUAAUAUUGGACUUCAGUACGAAGCAGGAGUGGUCAUACCAACCGAUCACGAUCAGUGGAACCCCAGUGGAGAGAGUGGACAGCUUCCGGUACCUAGGUGUUCACAUCAAGCAGGACUUGACUUGGUCCUGUCAUACCAACACCCUGGUGAAGAAGGCCCGGCAGCGUCUAUACCACCUGAGACGCUUUAGGAACUUUAAACUUCCCUCUCAGGUGCUAAAGACUUUUUUACAUCUGCACCAUUGAGAGCGUCCUGACGGGUAGCAUCACUUCCUGGUUCGGGAACAGCACCAUGCAGGACAGGCAAGCCCUCCAGAGAGUGGUGCGUUCAGCUGAACGUACCAUCUACACCGAGCUCCCUGACCUACAGGACAUCUACAGCAAGCGGUGCCAGAUCAGGGCCAGGAAGAUUGUGAAGGACCUCAGCCAUCCCAACAAUGGACUCUUUUCUCUGUUGCAUUAAGGGAGCUUCUUCCCGCAGGCCAUUCGGAGUCUGAACCAGGAAACACCUAGAACCUGAAACAGAUACCAGGACUCUCUCUGCUUUUCAUCACUUGCACAACCUCGCACAUUUGCACAAACUGACACUUAUUCCAGCACAUGGACACUUUAAUGAUAAACACUGGAUCACCUCAAUAUAUGCCAUAUACACAUACAUCCCAUCAUGUUCAUGUCUGCAUUUAUGUGUAUAUACCACUUUGUUUAGUAUAUAUAUAUAUAUAUAUAUCUACUUACACCUAUAUUUUCAUAUUUGUACACCUAUAUUUUCGUUUCUU